UACGAAGGGUGCAAGCGUUACUCGGAAUUACUGGGCGUAAAGCGUGCGUAGGUGGUUCGUUAAGUCUGAUGUGAAAGCCCUGGGCUCAACCUGGGAAUGGCAUUGGAAACUGGCGACCUAGAGUGCGGUAGAGGGUAGUGGAAUUCCCGGUGUAGCGGUGAAAUGCGCAGAGAUCGGGAGGAACACCCGUAGCGAAGGCGGCACUCUGGGCCGGUACUGACGCUGAGGAGCGAAAGCGUGGGGAGCAAACAGG
Molecule: ribosomal RNA, 253 nt
Filed under: uncultured bacterium
Lineage: Bacteria
Description: partial 16S ribosomal RNA
Rfam family: Bacterial small subunit ribosomal RNA
Source: RNAcentral